Long non-coding RNA from Oryzias melastigma (Indian medaka), 1946 nucleotides. RefSeq lists it as uncharacterized. The transcript is spliced from 3 exons. Lineage: Eukaryota; Metazoa; Chordata; Actinopteri; Beloniformes; Adrianichthyidae. The record is from RefSeq and is a predicted model, not a curated record.
ACAGGCCGUUGUUGUGGAUCUGGGAGGAGAAGCGCAGCAGGCGGCGGUAGGAGGUGGGGUCGGCUUUGGAAGCAGCGCUGGACAGACAGUUUUCCUCCAUGGCGCACUGCAGGGCGUACAAAGGCCUGUCCUCCAGGAAACUCCAGCAGCAAAGCGUCCGCCUCCUUUGGGACAGUCGACGAAGACGCCAUGAUGCAGACACUGAUCCAGAGUCAGCUCCGUCCCCGAACACCUCACGCCGCUCAUCACCACGGCGUCGGUGGAGGCGUCUCCCUGCCAGUACCACGUCUCCUGCAGAGAAGACCAAAAAAUCCACAAGAGCUUCUUAUCCUCCUGACUCAGCAUCUUAAGAGGAUUUCUGCAACGCAAAGGGGAAAUCUUUCGAGGUGGAAACUCAAUCUUUCCAUCGUCUCCCAUGGACGUGCAGAAAAACGGUUAGACAGACAGUAGCUCCAACACAGAGUCAGAUUUUCCAGAAGGUGGUGGUGGCUGGAGAAGCAUUUACGAGUCAGACAGGACAGCGUUUUCUGCAGAGGAGGAGGAUGUCUCUGGAAAGAUCUGGAAUGAUCUUCAGAUUGAAAUGUUUGUGAUGGCAACGGGGCAUGCCAUCAGAACAGCAUCAUCUCUGUUUUGAAGCAGAGAGGAACAACUGACUCAGUCUUUACAAGCUCCACUAAUAAACACCCCCCGCAGUACUGACCCCCCCAUGAUUCACACACAUACUUUCCACAGAUUUACUGUCUGAAAGCAUGGUCGGAUGACAUAACACGAUGACAUGGCGGCUGCUCUCUUCAGUAGAAAGUGUGAGGCGGCCCUGCUUGUUCCUCGCCGUUUUCCAGUAAACUUCAAACACAACCCGGCUCAUUUGUGGGGCGGGUUUCCCGCCGUUUGCCCUCUGGGAAAAACGCACCUCCAGCUUGUUAGAAACUCGCCAUGCUCAUUAAGACAGCGAAAGCUCAACAUGUUCCAAUCCCUAAAUUCCACCCGUGUCCUCCCUUCUUGAGUCCUGGGAGGAGACCACAUCCAUGGAAGGAAGUGGCGCCCCAUGGUUCAGCUCCAACAACAUUUUAAUUUGUCAAAUAUACAGUCUAUAAAUUACAUUAGCAACAAUUAUUAUGAAUAAGUACAAAAAAAAUAGUUUCUGAAUUCCAAGAACUCUUACUAAUUCAGCCUGGAGGCUGCAGUAAAAUGACCAUAACUUUCUAAAAGUUUGCAGGAAUGCACAUUAACAGAUCAGACCAUAGGGGAUGACCGCGAGGAUUAGUUGACCUAAUCGAUUCAUAUUCCUAUGAUCCAACCAGGUAGAUCUGUCUGAGGGAAGUUGUUCAUCAAAAAUUGUUUCAAUUUCAUUAUUUUGAAGAAAUACGAGGAAUCUGGAGAACUUCACCUGCACUUUCAGUCCCAGCUGUUUAUCUCUGAGUCACACUGGUGGAAGUUUUACUAAAGAUGUUCUGGAUCCAUUUUAGGUCAGUGAGUUCAAUUGUUUAAAAUGAACCAAAUCAACUAUGAAUCGCAUCGUCAACCGUAAAUAUUGAAACGAGUCAAAUCGUAGUUAAAAUGAACCAUUAGACCUCUAUUAAACACAGCUUUACUUUUCUUUCUUCCAGUUCUGUUAAGUAUUUUCAAUAGGAGUGUGAAUUGGCAAUAGUCUGACAAUACAAUAGUUGUCACGAUACACGUGUCACAAUACAAUACGUAUCCUGAUAUAUUCAGUUCAGCACCAGACAAUAUUUCACCAUUUUUUAAGUUAUGACUAAAGAAUCAAUAUUAAUACAUUUUUCACAUAAGCAAUACCAAAUAUCUUUCAAUAGUAGCUCCAGUGAAUAUUCCAAACGUUUGGCAGCCAGCCGUGAUUUAUGUAUCUAUUGAAGAGCGGACUCUAUUGGAAGAUACACAACAUGAGUCAAAGUCAAGACCCAGGGGCCGCAUCCGGCCCUCCAGAUCAU